RNAcentral lists this long non-coding RNA (258 nucleotides) under Elaeis guineensis (African oil palm). RNAcentral describes it as "long non-coding RNA (EGUI_LNC071984)". The record is from RNAcentral. Lineage: Eukaryota; Viridiplantae; Streptophyta; Magnoliopsida; Arecales; Arecaceae.
GCAUAUAUUAAAUCAAUCAAUCAUAAUGAUGCACUAUUAUAGUUAUAUCUUAAUAUCAUAACAAUUAAUUAUGGAAUCUAUUCAUAUCUCUAAGAUAUAAAAUCAUAAUCAUUUAAUAUGAUUAUAACUAAGCAUCUCAAGCAUAUCAAAUAUGCAUAAAGUUUUAAUAACAUAAAUGAAUACAAAAUAUUCUUUUCAUGAUUCUUCUUCUUAGGACAUCAUAAUGGCACCCCUACGUGCCAUAAAAGUAUCCUAUUG